GACAGAGGUGCCAAGCGUUAGGCGGAAUCACUGGGCUUAAAGCGUGUGUAGGCGGAAUUGUAAGUACCUUGUGAAAUCCCACGGCUCAACUGUGGAACUGCUUGGUAUACUGCCGGUCUUGAGCCAGCUAGGGGCUACCGGAACAAAUGGUGGAGCGGUGAAAUGCGUAGAUAUCAUUUGGAACGCCAAUGGUGAAAACAGGUAGCUGGGGCUGUGCUGACGCUGAGACACGAAAGCCAGGGGAGCAAACGGG
RNAcentral lists this ribosomal RNA (253 nucleotides) under uncultured bacterium. Its description in RNAcentral is "partial 16S ribosomal RNA". It matches the Rfam family "Bacterial small subunit ribosomal RNA", at positions 524 to 776 of the family's 1533-position model. The record is from RNAcentral.